GUCCUCCGCCGCCCGCCGCCCGUCCCUUCGGAAGCGCCGAUUCCUCGGGGAGGAGGAGGCGUGAGGGGAGGCGGCGGAGGCAGCCGGCACGGGGCGCUCGGGCCGCGGGGCAGGGGGCGCGGGGUGCCUCCUCGGCCUCGGCUCUCCCCGCCCCGGGGCGCCCCGAGACCGCCGCCUGCCUCCGCGGGCAGCUUUGUUCUUCUUUCCUCCAACUACCUGUCUGAGCCGCGGGCCCCAGAGGCCCCAAAGAGAGGCCCGGAGGGUCUCCCCAGCAGCAUCCGAGGGGCGCUCUCGGGGAGCUAGGGGCCAGAGUCCGCGGUCCCUCCGUGCCUGCCUCCCUCCCCUCGUGCCUCGGUCUUUUGUUGCCUCUACUCCUCGGCACGGCGCAGCCUGGGCUCUCUUCCCCCUCCCGCUUGGGAGUUUGCAGUGUGGACGCUCGGCAAGCACACCUGUCUUGAAGGAGUACCACCUGUCUUCAGCCUGCUAAUGAAAAUUGGAAUUCUCUGAGGAAAGCUCUGUCAUCUAGAAUCUUCUGACCAGUGGAUGAGUCAGCUCAGGGCCUCUUCUCUGCAUCUUCCUUGGACUCGGACUGUGGGAAGCCCUGUGGAAAGCAGGAUGAUCUAACAGCAGGAUAAAGAUUGUUUUUGUUAUCAUGUCCCAUGGCUAAAAAUUACCCACUGCUUUUCCUUCUUAAACUGGGAUCCUCAACUUGGAAUCUCUGGCUAUUAAUAAAGUCUGGAGAGAGCAAUAGAGUGCAUUGGUUAGGACCUCAAGCAUCAGCAGACCUAAAUCUGAGUUAUCACUUUAUCACUAACUGUGAGAGCUUGGACACAAUGCUUGCCAUCUCUUCACACCAUCCACUCACAUGUGCAAUGGUGUAAAAAUCACAACUACUCAGAGGUAGUUGUAAGGAUGAAAAUAGAUAAUGUGCAAAGUCCGUAGAACAGUGUGUGGCAUGCAGCUUAGUGAGGGCUCCACAAAUUGUAGGUUUGGUAUUAUUUUGCAUAAGCACUCUAUUAGGCAGAAGCUGAUCGUUUAUAUAUCUGAGCUACCCACUAAACUUAUUCAUCCAUUGUCUUAUUCAUUUAUUCAUUUGAUAAACAUUUUUGAACACCUGUUGUGAGCCAAGCACCUUCCGGGAUUUGGGGAUACAGUGUGACCAAGCCAGGUGAGACCCCAGCCUCCUCAGAGCUCAUUUUGGUAGACUCUGAGCUCCUAGAGAGGGAGAUCCCAUCCCUGUAUCUCACAUAGAGCCUAGCACAGCACUAUACCCAGAAGAGAUCCUUUCAAAAUGCUGUUAAAGAAUGACUGGGUAAGUGACACGCCUAAAAAGUGGGGAGAAAAGUCAGGUGUGGUUGCUUCCCCUCUGCUGUUACUGGGACUCAGCUACCGUUAGGAGUAGCCCCUCUAAUAUACGCAGAUGGACCAAGACCGAAGCUGACCAUCCUGAGUUCUGUGCCAGGAACUCCUUCCCAGGGAGCACAGAAGGAAAGUGCUGGGCCCUGGAGAGAUGCCAGUCACUCCGACAAUGGUCUUCAUCUUAAUUGCAGUAUGUAAUUCAGCACUAGGUUCCAAGUGGCAGCCACACUGAGGUUGUUUUCCCACAUAACUCAAUGUUCUUUUCAUUGCCAUGGUAUAUGAGCAAACUGUUCAGCUGUGAGUGAGUUCAGGGGAAGGAAAUAUAAGAUUAGACUGCCAUGCGUACUGAAAGGCAGAAAAGCUUCCAUAUUAUGGAGCAAUAAAUUAAGGAAUAAUCACGAAAAUGUUACAGAUAAUUCACAUCAAUCAAGUAACUUACAGUUACUUUAUUAUUUUAGAUUAUAUUCAUGAUUAUUAUUUAAUGUGUUUUUAAUAUGAAUGUACAGCUUUAUGUAAUCCUUUUGUAAUUGAGAAGGAAUUAGAGGUCCAAGUGCUCUGAAAUACUUUCUUUUUUUCAAUUGCCCAACAUUUAGAAGACUCCUGUUUUACAGCUAAUGCCAAUUAUUCCACAUAGACAUACACUUUUUAUCUCUUUAUUGCAUGUCGGGAUAACUAAAAUCUAUCAGAUUUAAAGUUUAAGUUUUAUGGCCAAAGUCAUAUUUCUAUUUCUGCAUGAGUCUAACUAAUGCUCAUGGAUCCACAGUCCCUACCAGAGGAAUUCAUCAUUAGUCAAUCAACAAAUAUUCCUUGGGGAGCCGCCUUGUGCAAGGUAUGAGAAUGGAGCCUUGGAGCUAGAUACACAAAAAAAUCACAGAGCUUUGUCCUUGAUCUCUAGACACUUUUAGUUUUGUUUGGAAAAUAAGACAUAUAGGCAUGGGAUGACAAUUAAAAAUAUAAGGCAAUAAAUGUUGAAUGUCAAAUGAUAGCAUCAGAAACAGUUGCUGUGGAAGUCCACAGGCAACAGCAGUCUGGGGUCAUAUUUGGUUGUGGAAGCCUUGCCCACUGAAUGUUGUUUGUUUCACAAAAGGUUGCCUGAUGAAAUGGGAGAAAAGUGGGGUAAGUCAUAUUCCCUUGCUACUUGAGUGUGAUUUGAGAGCUAGCAACUUCAGCAACACCUGGGAGCCUGUUAGACCUGCAGAAUCUCAAGCACGACCCAGGACUGACUGAGUCAGAAUCUGCAUUUCAACAAGAUCCCCAGUGAUUGUGCAUUAAGGUCUCAGAAGCACUGGCCUAUCCUGCAGAUUCGUAAGUCACUUGUCUUUUUUGAAACAGCGUCUCUCUCAGUCACCCAGGCCCCAGUGCAGUGGCGUGAUCAUAGCUCACUGCAGCCUGAAACUCCGGGGCUCAAGCGAUCCUCCUGCCUCAGCCUCCAGAGUUGCAGGGAUUACAGGCAUGAGCCACCAUGCCCAGCCACUUUUCUUGUUUGAUGGAAAGUUAGACUCAUACUUGCUAAUCUCAUUCUCACUCCAAUAAAAAAUAAGGCAAUUAAAGGAAACCAUUCAUUCAACAAAACUUUGUGUACCUUCUUGUGCUAGAAACUUUGUUCCAGUCACACACUAAAUAUAUACAAGUACCCAAAGACAGUUUUGGAUAUUCAGUACUAGUGACUUCAUACUGAUGGCUCUGAGGCCUAAGGGUCAAACAGAUUUGUAAUACUCAGGGGUGUCUCCUUCAUCAACUAGCAAACCUGGGUCAUCCCCAGAAGUGGGGUAAAUUUGUUAGAAACUCCUAUGGGCCAGGCUCAGUGGCUCACACUUGUAAUCCCAGUACUUUGGGAGGCCAAAGCAGGUGGAUCAUCUGAGGUCAGGAGUUCAAGACCAGCCUGGCCAACAUGGUGAAACCCGGUCUCUACUAAAAAUACAAAAAAACCCAAAAAGAAAUAGCUGGGCGUGGUAGUGGGUGCCUGUAAUCCCAGCUACUCGGGAGGCUGAGGCAGGAGAAUCGCUUGAACCCUGGAGGCAGAGGUUGCGGUGAGCUGAAACUGCUCCAUUGCACUCCAGCCUGGGCAACAAGAGCAAACCUCCAUCUCAAACAAACAAAUCUCCUAUGGCGACAGAGUGAUGCCCAGGGAAGGUGGAACUCUGUGCCGAAACAAUGUUAGUUUUGCAUUUGGUGUCCUACUGUCCUGACUGUCUAUUCAGCAAUCUAUUUGACAUUUCAACCUCUGUGUCUAACAGGCUUCUUAAUAAUAAACAUCCAAAAGAGAAGUGUUAACUUUCUCCCGCAAAUCUGUUUUGCCCCGAUCUUCCUCUUCUUCAUAAAUGAGACUACCAUCUGCCAUGUUGAUAAGCCAAAACUUAAAACUCAUUCUGAAGUCUUCAUCUGUCCUACCCACCACAUGUAAUCCAGGAGCACUCCCUGUCCAUUCCACCUUCAGACUAGGAUGCUGGCUAUGUCCCCGUCGGGUCGUCUCCAUGGGCACUAUCGGCCGUCUUGCCUGGGGGAUUGUGCUGGCCACCUACGGGGUCUUCCUGUCUCCACCCUUGCUCGUGUCCAAGCUCAUCUCCAUACAGCAGCCAGAAUGGUCGUAGACAAAUGUCAGUCUCUCCAUGUCAUUCCUCUGCUUGAAACUUUAAUGAUUUCUUAUUUAUCUUCAAAUAAAACUGAAAUGAUCAGGCUCUGUUUGAUUGGUCCUGUUGUUUCUUCCUCUUCCCCUGUUGCCCACCAUCCUCCACCAAACUGACAUUUUAAAUUAUUCCUUCAACAUCCUCAUGUCUUUUCUGCCUCAGGAUCUUUGCAUCUGUUACUUGGAAUGGUCUAGAACUGUCUAGAGCGGUCUGCCUGACUCUUCACAUGGUUGCCUUUUGAUCUUUCAGAGCUCAGAGUAGCUGUGCUGACUUAGAGAGGCCUUCCCUGAAGUUCAUCUAGCAGGCAACCCCAGCGUUCUGAUGUACUUCGUGGCUCUGAUGCCAACUACCAAUCACAUGAAGGGCUGAGACUUCAUCUCUCUUGUUCAUUUCUAUUUCCCCAGCACACAGUGUGCUCCAUACAAAUAUGUGACUGAAUGAAAGUGUAGUUCUGGAUUUGUGUGGCUUGAUAAUGUUUUUCCUUUUUCAGUGUAAAUCUGAAAUACUUUUUAAUUCAAUUAACCAAGUUUUAGAAUAAUGCUGCUAUGCAGUUAACAGAGAUUAUUAACACAGGAAUACACAUUCUACCUCUGUAUUUCAUACAGGUAAAACAAUGAGCCAGAUGGAAUUUGAAUAUAGGUGCCUCUAGCCAGCUGAUCAUAUGGAGGACAGAGCUCAUGCCCAGCACACAGCAGUCUCUGCAGUGUAGUCAAGCUUGCCACCAGAUCCACUCAGACAGCACUGUAGCCACUUGGGUAGGGAGGAGUCUCCUCAAUGGGCCUCUCUGGGUGUAGUGGAAGUAAGAGAGCCCUCUGAGUCCCUACGCCCUGACAGGAAGUACAGAUGAAUCCUUACUUAAACAGAGAGGAGAUCACUCCACUUUCCUUAAGUGGUUUAGAUUGUUGGUUCCUUUUGAACUCUAAGGAAUUGGGCAAUGUUUUAAAAAAUUAUAAACUACCUGUUUCCAUGUCCAACACAAUACUGAAGAGUCUCAUGCUUGGUGAUUGUGGGUGUGGCAGGUAGAAUAAUUCCAAUGACAUCUGCAUCCUAAUCCCCGCCCCUGCCUCAAUCUGGAAUGGGAUCCCUUGCAAGGCAGACAUGGUGAAAGACCUGAGAUCGGGAGGUUAUCCUGGAUUCUCUGGUGGUCCUAGUGUCAUCACAAGGACUCAAUGUCAUCACAAGGGUCUCUAAAGAAGUCAGAGCAGGAGAAGUAAUGACAAAAGCAGAGUGUCAGAGUCAGAUCGAGGCUUGAAAAUGUUACACUGCUGGUUUUAAAGAUGGAAGGAAGUCAUGAGCCAAGGAAAGCUACAGUUUUCCUUGAUGACCCUCCCACCUUAGCCUCCUGAGUAGCUGGGACUACAGAUCCCAGCUCACUUGAGCCUGGGAUAUCGAGGCUGCAGUGAGCUAUGUCUGUGCCACUGCACUCUAGUCUGGGCAAAAGAGUGAGACUCACAAAAAGGAAAAAAUGACCAUUUUAUGUAGUUUUCUAGAAGAUAAUGAAGAAUCCGUCUGUGGGACUUGAUUCCUGUUUUCUUCCUGGAAAAUGGUGUGGAGUGAUAGAUGGAUGGUUUAUUGCAGUUAGAAAAAACUGCUCCUGCUUUCCUACCACCUUGUGAGCAUAGCUGUGGAAAGGGGAAUUCUCAGCAAGCGUCAGAGCUCAGUGCUUAUGAUACAGUGAGAGCUAUAGCUGACAUUUAAAUACUUUUUCAUUUUUCAUUUUAAACCACCCUGUAAGCAUUCACUAAUUAAUCCUCAUCAGGCACUGAUGUGAAAGAAUUACCUUCAAUAUUCUGCAGAUGAAAAUAGUUCAUGCAGUACUUCAGAAAGUUCACCUGAUGAUGGAAAGGAGGAAAUGUGUCUCUUGCCACACCUACUGCUGUAUUUUAAAGCAGUCGUUCUCAAGAGGGACCUGGUGCUAUCAAAAGGCACCUAUGUAACCAUACAUAUGAAUACGUCAAGUGGAUACUGCUUCCCGCUGUCCGUGCAGCAGCAUCAUCAUCACAGUGCACACUUGAUCCACAUGCUGUGUGCCACACACGUGCAUGCCCUAUACCCCCAUUACACCCUCCUCUCUCCCUUCAGAAGCUCCCACUCUAGGCCAAGCCCCAUCAUUUCUCCCCUGGGCUAAGGCAGUGAACCCCUGAUAGAUCUGCCUUCUCCCUUGCCCCCAACAGUCUCUCCUAGCAGCAGCCAGAGUGAUCUUGUAAAAACUUAAAUCAGAUCAAUGCCACUCUUCUGCUUCAAUCCUAUCAUGAUUUUUCAUUUCCCUUACAGUAAAGUUUCUUCUUCUUACCUUGACUUCUGUUAUGAACUGAUCAUUUAUGUCCCCCCAGAAUUCCUAUGUUGAAACCUAACCCCCAGUGUGAAGGUAUUAGGAGAUGGAUGGGGCCUUUGGGGGUUGAAUAGGUUGUGAGAGUGGAGCCCUCAUGAAUGGGAUUAGUGCCCUCAUAAAUAGAGUCCAGAGAUCUCCCAUGCUUCUCUUUCUGCCAUGUGAGACUACAACAAGAAGACGACAGUCUACAACCUGGAAGAAAGCCCUCACUGGAACCUGACCAUGCUGGGACCCGAUCUUAGACUCCAGCCUCCAGCACUGUGAGAAACAAAUGUUUGUUGCUUAAAAGCCACUUAGUCUAUAGUACUUUGUUAUAGUACCCUCAAAGGACUACAGUAGCUUCAAAGCCCUGCAGUGUCGGGUCCACACCAGCCUCCUGAAUGCUGAUCCUGGCUGAUUACAUCCAGCUACACUGGCCUCUUCCUCUUUUCUGAAUGUCCCAGGCCUAUACUCACCUCCAGACCUUUGCACUUGAUACUCCUCUGGUCUUCCCAUGACAGCUCCUUCACUUCUCAGCUCAGACGUCAGCUCCACAGAGAGGCCUCUCCUAACAAUCCCAUCUACAGGGACUGGGUAUCUAAUAGUCUUAAUAGAAAAGUGAGCAGCAACAGUUUGAGCCCCUUGGGGAAGAGGAGACUCCCUGGGGGGACAGCACGGCCUCUGCUUGCAUCCUAGGUUUUACUGAAGCACUGUUUGCAGAAAGCCUAGCGGGCUCAGAAAACCAGCCAUGCCAUGGUGGGAAGAAAGCCUUGCUGAGAUCCUGUGGCUGAAAACCAUCAUGGGCUUUUGCUUUCAGACUGCCCAUUGCCAACCGAUGCAGGCCCAGAGAAGCAAGGAGGAGUGCUGUUCUGGGAAGGCGGUGGGCACAUAGAUGGAGCUAGACUUGCGACUUCAGGCCCUCAGCAGCCACAUGAUCUUGCAGCUGUGGGCCAUGCACCUGCUUCUUGGGCCCAUGAUUAACCAGAUGUUCAGCUCCUUAAAGACAGACUUCGGGGCCCUUGGCUGGCAGGGGAUGCAAUCUGCAGAUGAGAAGCUCUGAGAAGCAGUUCUCAAAGCCAGGAUCCAGAGGCUCAGCCAUGUGAGUUUCCUGUGAGAGGGAAAAGGCAGGAGCAUAGAGGCCACUGAAGUUGUUCUCAAAAGCCCCAAGAUACCUUUGGUCUCAGUGGAGGCAUCCAGGACACAGCUGUCUUCACUUCUUCACUCAGUCAUUUAGAAAUUGUUCAGUGAGCACCCACCCUGUAUAAUUCACUGCUGCUGCAGCUGAGCUCAACAUGGUGUCAUCUAGGGGAGGAGCUUGAAGAGGUUGUGUUAAGGAAGAACCACGAGAGGAGUGCCCAGUUGGAUGUGACCCCGGAUGUGUAGGCAUCCAGGAGGCUGAAAGAAGGCUGACCCAGGGCCUGAUCACUUGACAAUGGACAUGCUACCUCACAGAGCAUAACACCACAACUAACACAUCCUGAGCCCUCAAUCAAUGUUGUGCAAUAAAGGAAUAAACCUGGAUGUCUUUCCUGUAACCAAACAUUGGACUAUUCAUCAACUGUGCACUUUUUGUUCCCCAACGAGCACAAGGGUUUGGACUGCACCAUCCCCACUCUUUCUUGACUCUCUCUGUACACCAUAAAUGCAUGGUUCAGGGUGAUUUUGCUGGGCAAGGGUGAUGGUUUGACUAUUUGUGUCCCUCCAAAAUUCAUGUUGACACUUAAUGCCCAUUGUGGUGGUAUUAAGAGGUAGAGACUUUCGGGAAGUGAGUAAGUCACGAGGCCUCUUUAUAAAAGAAGCUUCAGGCCAGGUGCAGUGGCUUAUGCAUGUAAUCCCAGUACUUUGACAGGCUGAGAUGAGAGGAUCAUUGAGCCUAGGAUUUCAAAACUAGCCUGGGCAACAUAAUGAGACCCUAUCUCUAUUAAAAGUAAAACAUUAGCUGGGCAUGGUGCGGUGCACCUGUAGUCUCAGCUACUUUGGAAGCUGAGGCAGGAGGAUCACUUGAGCCCAGGAGGUUGAGGCUGCAGUGAGCUAUGAUUGCACCACCGCACUUCGGCCUAGGCAACAGCGUGAGACCUUGUCACACACACACACACACACACACACACACACAAUAGUUUCAGACAAUAGCCUGGCCUGGCCUUCCCAUCUCUUCUGCUGUGAAAACACAACAUGCAUCCCUUUUUGCCUCUUCAGCACAUGAGGAUAUAGCAAAAAGGCCCAGGCCCUCAACAGGCACUGAAUCUGCUGGUACCUUGAUCUUGGACUUCAGAGCCUCCAGAACCAUAAGAAAUAAAUUUCUAUUCUUUAUAAAUUACUGAAUCUGUGGCAUUUUGUUACAGCAGCACAAACAGACUAGGACAGGGAGGUUGGGAGUGCACCGUGUGAUGUGUCUUUGCAAAGUCUACCCUGUACCAAGCUGACUGGCCCUAUGGGAUUUGUUAGCAACUAGCUGGGCCAGAUCAUUAGAAAACAAUUUGAAAUGCAGAAUGAGGAAUGGUGGCAAAUUUGGCUAUUUUUCUCAGGGUUUUGUUCAGCACCAUUUGCUGCCAUGCUACCAGCAUAGUGGUUUGUGUGGCCUGUACAUCCAGAAUACCUGGGUUCAAAUCCUGCUCCCUGCCUGUGUGAUCUUGAGCAGGUGAUAUGAGCUGCCUGUGCCAAGUUCCGCAUCUGUAAAGUGAGGGUGGUAAAAGGACCUACCUCGUAGAGUUGCUAUGAGAAUGAAGUAAGUUGGCGGGUGAAAAGGUGGUGAAUAUUCGUAUUAUUGAUGUUAUUAUCACUGUAAGCAGCAGUGGCAGCAGCUGCCAAGCCUCACAUUCCAACCUGAGAAUUUCCAAGAGAAGGCAGAUGAUCUUGUAAAACUCCAGGAAGUCACAUCUCUGAUUUCCAGCCCUCCUGUCUACAGAGCCAAACCUUUCCGCAGAACUCUCCCUGCUACCAUAAAAUGCUGCCUCCACAGAGGGAACCCUCCCCAGGCACAAGGCAGAUGGUUGCUCCGUUCCAUGUGGCCCCUCACUGCAGUGCAGUGAUGAUGUUUGGGCUGAGCAAAAGACUUCAGUGCUCAGAGGAGAAGGAGCAGGAGGCUUUGCCAGCUUCCAUUUGCAUGAGAAAAGAACUGAGAGGAGAGGGGAGAAGGGGGAAGAUGCUUGCUUCCUCCUUCCAUCUUGGCAUUCACAGAGCAGGCUGCAUUUGAACACUGCCGUGCUAUGUACAUUGGAUCCAUGCAAUGUUACAUAAGUAUUUCAUAAGGGACAAGGUGACUUUGUGUUUUUUUCACCUGUUCUUCUCCUCUGAUCCCAGAAGCUGGGAAGUAGGCUGGAUGCAGAGAAAAGAGCAUUGUUCUCAAGUCUGCUUCACUGCUUAAAGACUAAGAAGGAAAAAAAAUAGAAAGGAAAACAAGAAUCAUUGUCUCUUUUGUUUUCUCUUUAAAAUAUAAAAGGAACUCUGAAACCAAAGUUCGGAUGACAUCGUAUGACAUUUUCCUUUCCACAUGGAAAAAUUUUGAAUAAAAGAUCUGUUUUCUGGGUUGACACUUCUGGGCUCUUUCAAUCUCCAGUAGCAGCAAACUGCUGUCAUUUCUGGAAAUAAGGAUGGCAAGACUCAGGGGGUUAAUCUGCCUGAUUUUGCUCUCCAAGGGUGACAGCGUAAAGCUCUUUGGCUCUGCAUCCACAGUAAUAGCUGAGGGCAGCGCUGCCCAACAGAACUUUCUGUGGUGAUGGAAGCCUUCUCUAAUCUGUGCUGCACAUCUGGCAGCCACGAGCCACACGUGGCUAUUGAGCGCUGGAAGUGGGGCUGCUGUGACUGUGGAACUGAGUUAACUUCACUGUUAAUUUAAAUUUAAAUGGCCACGUGUGGUCUGUGGCUACAGUAUUGGCAGGUGCAUGAGAGCAAUAGCAAAACAAACUGUAAGUAGCAUCCACAGAUGUUGACUGAAUGCAUCACACAGAUAAGAUGGAAAAGGAAGAGCCUAAAAGUUCUGAAGAGUGAUGUUCCCCUUCCACAGGAGCAGUUUAUGUGUCAGUGGCAAUGAUGUUUUAUGAAUAUUUGGGAUGACCAUUUUCUGUUUCAUCUUUCAGCUGUGGGAGUAGCAGUCUACUUUAUUUCUUUUCAAUUUUUUUUUAGAGAUGGAGUCUUGCUAUGUUGCCCAGGGUGAUCUUGAACUCCUGGCCUCACAUGAUCCUCCUGCCUCAACCUCCCAAAGUGUUGGGAUUACAGGCAUGAACCACCAUGCCUAGCUCAGUCUACUUUUUUUAAAAGAGGAAUGAGAUCAAGAUCACAUUUCAAAAAAUAUGUUGUCUCCUAAAGUAAGUAAUAUUUCUACCUGGAAGCUCUUCCUUCAAGUCUAAAGUCAAAGGGAAAGACAAUAAUUUCUUCUAGGCUUUUGAGGUGAUGAUCAUGGGGUUUGCUUAGAUGUCAGAUCCACGAGUCACCCUAAAGCCUGAAGAGACAGAGUAGAUGGGAGCUGGUGUUGGGUGAACACUGGACUGGUCCCAGGGCUGCGGUUCUUGAUCAGUGUAAUGCAGGAAGGAGUCGCCAAUGUGGCCACGCUCCUGGUAGGGGUUCUUUGUAGGUACUAGAGGCUCAGUAGCUGUCCUGAGUCAAAAGACCAAAGAAAAAGGGAAGCCUCAAGGAGAGAUGAGAGGACAGCAGAUGAAAAUGAGCCUGCAGGAAACCAAGCUCUGAGGAGAAAUGGGCAGGCAGCCAAGAGCAGGGCAGAAACUGCAGCAGUAGCAGCGGCAGCAAUGAAGUCUCCAAGUUAUGAGUGGCAGGCUCUGAGAACAAUGAUGGAGCAGGAAGUUAAUGCAGAGGGCAGGCAGAGAGCCCCUGAGACGAUAAGCAAGAUGAGUGGAGAAAACCGACAGGACUUAGACCUGGGCAUGGGCAGCAGAGGACCUUAUCCCAGCAGCAGAGGGACUGGCAGUUAAUGACGAUGCUCGAACAUCUGCUAUACGUUGGGAAUUUUGCACGCAUUUAAUAUUUUGCAUGCAGAUAAUAUUAUUCCCAUUUUAUGAAUGAAUGAGCCCAGACUUAAAGUGCUGGAGGGAUUUAAUAUUCUCCUGGAUCUAUCUGCCUUGCUGGCUACUCCUUCAGGCUUCCUUUUGAGUUCAUUCUUCUCUUACCACGUCUGUAAAUGUUAGAAUUUUUUAAGGAAUGUUACACAGUUGAGUCGUCUUCUCUUCUCACCCCCUACUUACUCAGCACAGUAUAAACCACUCUCUGGGAACUCCAGAAUUUUGUCUCUAUCUGGAAUCUCCCCUAGGAAUGGCAAAAUUAACCUAAAGAAUGUACAAGGAAGGAAAAAAUAGACAUAAACCUAGGUAUUUUUAUUUUGUUAAUUAGAAAAGUAGAAAGAACAGAUAAUGAUUCCAAGAGUUGCUUUUCAUUUAACCAAUAAAAUAACAAACCCUUAACUGACCCAAUAAAGAAAAUGGGAGCAGUCACAAAAUUAGGAAUGAGAAAAUAUUUCAAGAGACCACUCUGCUCAAUGCUAUGUUGAAACUUUUGAAAACCUAAAUACCAAUUAAAUUUUUCCAGUAAAAUAUUUAUGACCAAGGUUUACUCUACAAGAGAGUCUACUACUAGAGUUGCCAGAAUUAGUAUACAGAAAUUUGAAUUUUAGAUAAAUAAUUUUUUAGUAUGUCUUACGCAACAGUUAGGACAUACUUUUACUAAAAAAAAAAAAAAGUCAUUGGUUGUUAUUCUGAAAUUCAAAUUUAAUUGGAAAUCCUGCAUUUUAACUGGCCGAUCUAUUAAAACAGAUAAAUUAUUGUGGAGAAACAAUAGGAACUUGUCAAAAGCUUUAAAAACAUCAAGAUCAGAAGUUUCAGGUAAAGCGUAUGAAUUAAAUUCAAGCAAUAUUUUCAACUCUAUUUAAAUGAUUCCAAAGCAUAAAAAAACAGCUUCUAAGACAUUUUUAUAAAGCUACAAAGACUGAAGUCAAACCUGACAAGGAGAGUUAAAAAAUGUGGGCAAAACAGUGGUGAAUAUUCAUGAUAAAAUCUUACUGUGAUAUUCACAAACAUGGGGGAAUGAUAUUUUCUUUAAAAUCGACAGACUUUUUAGAGAAAAAAGGCAGUUGAAGAAAUUAUCAACAGUGAUUUUACCAAGUUCUUUGUAUUUUUUCUCAGUCUUAACAUGCCUAUAUAUAUUAUGUACAUAAUUCUUAGCUGUAAGUCAUUUUUAUAAUAGAUGCUAUUUUCUGCAAGCCUCUCAAAUUAAAACCCAUUGUUCUGAAAGUACUAAUCAAUGCAAUUACAUAAGGGAAAAAAUGAGACAUAAAUACUUCAACCACGGAGGCAAAAUUAUUACUGUUUUCAAACAAUGUAGUUAUUUACCUAGAAACUGCAAAAGAAUCAAUUGGAGGAAUUCUGUUACCAGCAGAAGAUAGUUCAGUUAGGUGGAUUGGUUUCACAAUGAAUAUCCACAUUCAGUGGCAUUUCAGUAAACAAAUAGUAUUCAGCUAUAAAAUAUAAUGGAGCAAAUUAUCUCAUUUAUAAUAGCAUAAAAAAGAUAAUGUGCCUAGACAUAAAUUUAAUUAAAAAUAUAGGCUAGGUAUGUUGGCUCAUGCCCAUAAUCUCAAGACUUUGGAGGGCUGGAGGAUCCCUUGAACCCAAGAGUUUGAGACCGUGAGACCCCAACUCUACAAAAAAAUAAAAUUAGCUCGGCAUGGUGUGCAUGCCUGUCAUCUCAGCUAUUGUGGAGUCUGAGGCAGGAGGAUUGUUUGAGCCCAGGAGUUUGAGGCUGUAGAGAUCUGAUUGUGCCACUGCACUCCAGCCUGGGUGACAGAGUGAGACCCUAUCUCUAAAAAUAAAUGGGGGGCUAUUAAAUAAAACAACAACGUGUAACACUUCUUGAAGGACAAAAAAAAAAUAAAAAUAAAUAAGUAGAAAGACCUGUCAAAGACCUAUCAUAUUCUUGGGUAGGAAGAUUCAAUACUGUAAAUGCAUAAGUUUACCCUAAAUUAAAUCCAUAGAUCCAAUUUAAUCCUCAUCAAAAUGCCAACAGGCACUUUUAUAUCUUGAUAAAGUAUUAAAGUUACUUGGAAACAUAAGUUUGAGGAAACUCCAUAGACUCCCGUAUGCAAUAAUCCAUUAAUAACCCAGUAAUAUUGGGGAGGAUACACAAGAAGCUGUUUAUAAUAUUCACCUCUUAGCAGUGGAAGUGAGGGGUAAAGACUUGAGCCAAAGAUGUAUUUUCAUGUUAUACUCAUCUAUGCUAUUUGAAUUUUUCCACAGGUGCAAAUAUUACUUAUAUGAUUAAAAAUAGUUAUUUUAAAAGAACAUUUCCAUUAUAUUGAGUACUGAUUUGUAACCCUCUCUGCUCAUUAGAAUCAUAUAGGGAGCUUUGGAAAGACACCAGGUCUCAGCACUUGCCUCCAGAUUCUAAUUCAAUUUGGCUGUGUUAGGGCCCAGGCAAUGGCAUUUUUUACAAAAGUUCUCACUGAUUCUGAUGUGGAGCCAGGGCCGAGAGCCACCACUGUCAAGUAACCCAUGGCAGCAUUUUCCAACUUUUGGUCACAACCCUUCGGUUAGGAAAUCAACUUAAUGGCUUGGGACCAGAGUUAAAAACAAACAAACAACAACAACUGAAACCAACUCAAUUGAGCAGAAACUUGUGCAUGCCUGUUGUGUUUAAGACAUGUCUCUUUCUGGGGGAUGUCAUCCAAAACAUUGGAAAACCCCUACCUUAAGUGGUUCAGAUCUUUCAGACUUUCUGAGACAUUUUAUCAGAAUUUGUGUGAACUAUUAAAGGCUUUUUACUGUUUAAAAGUUAUAUUGUAAUUCUGACUUUUGUUCACGUAUUUGAUGAUUCAAUUAUUUAUUCAUUACAUAGUCAAAGGUAGAAAAUUACAUGUAAUUACUUGUGCUUAUCUGAUAAGCAUAGUGACUGAUGUAUGUAAAUGCUCAAUAUGUGAUGG
Molecule: long non-coding RNA, 14215 nt
Filed under: Homo sapiens (human)
Lineage: Eukaryota; Metazoa; Chordata; Mammalia; Primates; Hominidae
Description: non-protein coding lnc-ARHGAP28-10:10
Source: RNAcentral